RNAcentral lists this transfer RNA (93 nucleotides) under Gammaproteobacteria bacterium. RNAcentral describes it as "tRNA-Ser". It matches the Rfam family "tRNA". Rfam says of the family: Transfer RNA (tRNA) molecules are approximately 80 nucleotides in length. Their secondary structure includes four short double-helical elements and three loops (D, anti-codon, and T loops). Lineage: Bacteria; Pseudomonadati; Pseudomonadota; Gammaproteobacteria. The record is from RNAcentral. RNAcentral also lists the same sequence under 2 other names.
GGAGAGGUGCCGGAGUGGUUGAACGGGCUUGCCUGGAAAGUAAGUGUACGGUGUUGAACCGUACCGAGGGUUCGAAUCCCUCCCUCUCCGCCA